AAUAGAUACCCGGGUAGUCCACCCCGUAAACGUUGGAACUAGUUGUGGGGUCCAUUCCACGGAUUCCGUGACGCAGCUAACGCAUUAAGUUCCCCGCCUGGGGAGUACGGCCGCAAGGCUAAAACUCAAAGGAAUUGACGGGGACCCGCACAAGCGGCGGAGCAUGCGGAUUAAUUCGAUGCAACGCGAAGAACCUUACCAAGGCUUGACAUAUACGAGAACGCUGCAGAAAUGUAGAACUCUUUGGACACUCGUAAACAGGUGGUGCAUGGUUGCCGUCAGCUCGUGUCGUGAGAUGUUGGGUUAAGUCCCGCAACGAGCGCAACCCUCGUUCUAUGUUGCCAGCACGUAAUGGUGGGAACUCAUGGGAUACUGCCGGGGUCAACUCGGAGGAAGGUGGGGAUGACGUCAAAUCAUCAUGCCCCUUAUGUCUUGGGCUUCACGCAUGCUACAAUGGCCGGUACAAAGGGCUGCAAUACCGUAAGGUGGAGCGAAUCCCAAAAAGCCGGUCCCAGUUCGGAUUGAGGUCUGCAACUCGACCUC
Molecule: ribosomal RNA, 543 nt
Filed under: uncultured bacterium
Lineage: Bacteria
Description: bacterial SSU rRNA
Rfam family: Bacterial small subunit ribosomal RNA
Source: RNAcentral